GGCCCAGUGGUCUAGUCGUAUGAUUCUCGCUUCGGGUACUCAUCCCAGUUCAUCAGAGCUGACAAGAUGCGAGAGGUCCCGGGUUCAAUUCCCGGCUGAGCCC
Non-coding RNA from Exidia glandulosa HHB12029, 103 nucleotides. Lineage: Eukaryota; Fungi; Basidiomycota; Agaricomycetes; Auriculariales; Exidiaceae. The record is from the annotation of a GenBank genome assembly.